GACGAACGCUGGCGGCGUGCUUAACACAUGCAAGUCGAACGGAAAGGCCCUGCUUUUGUGGGGUGCUCGAGUGGCGAACGGGUGAGUAACACGUGAGUAACCUGCCCUUGACUUUGGGAUAACUUCAGGAAACUGGGGCUAAUACCGGAUAGGAGCUCCUGCUGCAUGGUGGGGGUUGGAAAGUUUCGGCGGUUGGGGAUGGACUCGCGGCUUAUCAGCUUGUUGGUGGGGUAGUGGCUUACCAAGGCUUUGACGGGUAGCCGGCCUGAGAGGGUGACCGGGCACAAUGGGACUGAGAUACGGCCCAGACUGCUACGGGAGGCAGCAGGGGGGAAUAUUGCACAAUGGGCCGAAGCCUGAUGCAGCAACGCCGCGUGCGGGAUGACGGCCUUCGGGUUGUAAACCGCUUUCGCCUGUGACGAAGCGUGAGUGACGGUAAUGGGUAAAGAAGCACCGGCUAACUACGUG
This 468-nucleotide ribosomal RNA is filed under the name uncultured bacterium. RNAcentral describes it as "partial 16S ribosomal RNA". It matches the Rfam family "Bacterial small subunit ribosomal RNA", at positions 28 to 507 of the family's 1533-position model. The record is from RNAcentral.